GCUACUCAUAUUUUCGAUUUCUACCUUUUGCAUUUUAAACGUCUUUGUGAUCGGUUGUUGUUGGUUGUUGUUCGGAUGCGAUUUAGUUACUUUGGCGCGUGUUACUCGCACGCACACACAAACACAUACACAUACACGACCAAACGUCUCAUGAGAGAAAGGCAGGCCGAGUGGUAAACAAAAAUACAAAAUGUGCAUGGGGAAAACGGAUAACAACAAUAACAACGGCAAUGGCAUGGAAUUAAUGUAGAAAAAAAUGAAAACAACCAAAUAGCGGCAGAGCUGUCGAACCUACCAACACAGUCGCCCUACGGCGCCUUCCUCCACCCAAUGUUUUUGCUCGCAAAUGUGAAACAAAAGCAACAAAACAAAAACAAUAACAACAAUUAGGUAAUGUUUUUACGGCAUUCUCUUUUGCGUCGUCGUUUCGUUGUUUGACAGAGAGCAUGAGCGAGAGAGAUAACGAAAGAGAACGGAACAGCAAGAGAGCAACGGGCGCUCAUUUCAAUGCCGAUGUUUUUUUUUUUUGUCGUUUUCGUUUGACUUUUGUUUUGAAAGCAUUUUUACAUGGAAAAUUUUGUGUGCGUUUUUUAGAGAGGAAAAUUUUGUGUUUGUAAAUGUUCUGAUUAGAAUGAAAUGUGCUGGUGAUAUGUGAAUUGUAAUGUAU
Drosophila arizonae is the source of this 667-nucleotide long non-coding RNA. The record is from RefSeq and is a predicted model, not a curated record. NCBI's taxonomy places the organism in Eukaryota, Metazoa, Arthropoda, Insecta, Diptera, Drosophilidae.